CCUGCGGAGGGAUCAUUACCGAGUUUACAACUCCCAAACCCCUGUGAACAUACCUAUACGUUGCCUCGGCGGAUCAGCCCGCGCCCCGUAAAAAGGGACGGCCCGCCCGAGGACCCCUAAACUCUGUUUUUAGUGGAACUUCUGAGUAAAACAAACAAAUAAAUCAAAACUUUCAACAACGGAUCUCUUGGUUCUGGCAUCGAUGAAGAACGCAGCAAAAUGCGAUAAGUAAUGUGAAUUGCAGAAUUCAGUGAAUCAUCGAAUCUUUGAACGCACAUUGCGCCCGCCAGUAUUCUGGCGGGCAUGCCUGUUCGAGCGUCAUUUCAACCCUCAAGCUCAGCUUGGUGUUGGGACUCGCGGUAACCCGCGUUCCCCAAAUCGAUUGGCGGUCACGUCGAGCUUCCAUAGCGUAGUAAUCAUACACCUCGUUACUGGUAAUCGUCGCGGCCACGCCGUAAAACCCCAACUUCUGAAUGU
RNAcentral lists this small RNA (477 nucleotides) under Fusarium incarnatum. Its description in RNAcentral is "eukaryotic LSU rRNA". The stretch from base 168 to 321 matches the Rfam family "5.8S ribosomal RNA". The record is from RNAcentral. Lineage: Eukaryota; Fungi; Ascomycota; Sordariomycetes; Hypocreales; Nectriaceae.